CAGCCCUAAACGAUGCGCGUUAGGUGUAUCGGUGACCACGAGUCACCGAGGUGCCGAAGGGAAACCGUGAAACGUGCCGCCUGGGAAGUACGGUCGCAAGGCUGAAACUUAAGGGAAUUGGCGGGGGAGCACCACAACGGGUGGAGCCUGCGGUUUAAUUGGACUCAACGCCGGGAAGCUCACCGGAUAAGACAGCGGAAUGAUUGCCGGGCUGAAGACCCUGCAUGACCAGCUGAGAGGAGGUGCAUGGCGUGUGACUGU
Molecule: ribosomal RNA, 261 nt
Filed under: uncultured archaeon
Lineage: Archaea
Description: partial 16S ribosomal RNA
Rfam family: Archaeal small subunit ribosomal RNA
Source: RNAcentral